Molecule: small RNA, 141 nt
Filed under: Macaca fascicularis (crab-eating macaque)
Lineage: Eukaryota; Metazoa; Chordata; Mammalia; Primates; Cercopithecidae
Description: Metazoan signal recognition particle RNA (ENSMFAG00000065263.1)
Source: Rfam by way of RNAcentral
GCCGGGUGUGGUGACGUGCACCUGUAAUCCCAGCUGCUCGGGAGGCUGAGGUGGGAGAAUCACUUGAAUCCAGGAGGCGGAGGUUGCAGUGAGCCGAGCACUGCACUCCAGCCUGGGUGACAGAGCGAGACUCCGUCUCAA